Molecule: long non-coding RNA, 668 nt
Organism: Mastomys coucha (southern multimammate mouse)
Lineage: Eukaryota; Metazoa; Chordata; Mammalia; Rodentia; Muridae
Exons: 5
Source: RefSeq, a predicted model, not a curated record
ACAACAGAGCUGCUUACCUCCUGGCAAUCAGGAAGAGGAAAGAGCAAGGACCAAGAUACAUUUCUCAGAGGCGCAUCACUAAUGACCUACGUCUUCCUGGAUUCUACCAUGUGCUGAGUGCCGUCAUCUUAUAAAUCCACGAAGACACCAGAACCAAUGUGACUUAUAGAAAAAAAAGAGUUUAUUUGGAGCUCACAGUUUCAGAGAAUUGGAUUCUAUAUAUCCAUCAUGGAGGAGAGCAUGGCAGCAGGACUUCUUACUGAAUUUGGAGACAGGCUGCAAGCCAGAAAGCUUCAGGUCAUGUUUAGGUUAUCACAUUGGUGAGAGUUCAUGGUGUACAUUCUGAAAUUUCUAGAAGAUACAGUCUCGUGAAUACACAGAGUGAUAUGGACAUCCACAGUAAAUGAAAGAGUAGAAGUCUGCAAACCAGCCGGUGACCACGUUGGUGUAGAACACUUCCCUCAUGGAAGCCAUAUGAAGAAUAAGUGACCUAGGAAUCAUUCCAUGUAAACUCUGCUUAGUAUGUGGAUAAAAAUGAAGCCAGGCAUUUCAAGGCUAUUCUGGGAUCUCUGUCUCAAAAAGGAAGAAAAGGAGAGAAAAUUGGCAGGCUAUGUCUAAUGGAAGAUGUUUUACAGAUGUCUUAAUAAAAAUGAACUUUGAAAUGGCAA